Cucumis sativus (cucumber) is the source of this 1490-nucleotide long non-coding RNA. RefSeq lists it as uncharacterized. The record is from RefSeq and is a predicted model, not a curated record. Lineage: Eukaryota; Viridiplantae; Streptophyta; Magnoliopsida; Cucurbitales; Cucurbitaceae. The transcript has 2 exons.
CAAUCCUGUCAAAGGUACAUCAGUGUAAGAUUGUUUAUGAAGCAGACAAAAAUCAAGUGACUAUUAAACAAUACAAAUUACCGAUUAGUGUGCGUAUCAUCAUGUAAUGCAAAUAGUGUCCAAAUAGUGUCUUUAGAGCUCGAGGUAGAAUGCAUAAUAACAUUAUUCCUCUUGAAUUUAUUAGAGAAAAGGUGUUUUUUUUUAAAUUCAUCAUCUUUAAUUAAACAUUCUAGUAAAAAUUAUUUAAGAUAAAAUACAUUUUGAAGACUAUUUUGAAGUUCGAAGUGAAAUAUAUUCUCGCUAAAGUGCAAGAAAGUGCACGAAACAAUUGUUUUCAGAGUGCAUUGCGUGUUUGAGUGUGUGUGUAUAAGGUGUAUUUACAGAUUCAUGUGGAUGAAUAAAUACAUUGAAAGACAUGUAAUUCUAUGGGAAAAAAUGACUUAUGAUAAAGGCAAUGAAAUAUGUAAACAUGGUUCCAAACAUUUUAUAGUUGAUAAGAUUUUGAAGGAGAAGGAGAAGAACGGUGCUGAAGGCAAGACGACAAGGCUGUGCUUUUUAAUCGUUCCAUCUAAAAUGUUGAAAUUAAAUCUCAAACGAUCGACAUUGAGAGGGAAAGGAAAAAGAGACGGUGUUGCAGUACCAUCAAUUUUCUCAAUCACACAGACACAACUGAAUCCUAAAUAAUAAAUCAAACCUAGAGCAUGCAGAUUUAAUGGCAUAUAGUGAAGGAUUACAGAUAAGGUGAGAAAGUGAUGUAACGCACUACUUCAGCUAUCACUAAAAAGGAAGGUCAAAAGGUAUACCUUCAAUUGAUCGAAGUUCAUUGUUGUUGAGGUCGAGCAUUUGCACCCAGCGGUAGUCUUUUUGUGUAGAUUCAAUACAUGAAAUUGAUAAAUUAUUGAGGCUAGACAGGAUGUAGUACUGUCAAUAUAUGGUGAUGCCUGCUCUUUGUAGGAACAACGACGUCUUGACAAAACUCACCAGUCAAUGUAACAUGUGAAGAAACCAGAAUGUCAUUCCCUCUUCCUGAUCAAAACAUGGCCAAAGGAGGUUGAGAGUUUCAAUAUGAAAAGUCUCCUUUAUGCACAUGAAACGAAGUAACAAAAAACAAGUGUUGAAGUAUAAACUUUUCAAUAGUUGAUAACAAGAAACUGUAUCACCUUCUGCAAAUAAAACUAAGAUGUGUUGAACCUUGUAGUAAUGAACAUGUGGUGGAUCCAACAUCAUCAGGUCGGUAAAGGUCAAGAACUUCGUCAAGUUGGACCAUCCAUUUUGUUGGCGUGUGGAGAUGUUACAGCAUGUGCCAUAACAAUCUAGCAAGAGUGAGCUUUCCAAUUUUACUGCAAGAACAGAGAAAAUUAAAACGAUAAUGAUGGGAUUUAUAAACAUUGCAAUUUUAUCAGAUGUCUCCGAAGGAAUUGGGAUUGAUAAACAGUUCAAAAAUAUGUGAAAGAAAUAAGAGUGAUCAAUUGGUAUGAUAGACAUUCAAA